RNAcentral lists this ribosomal RNA (1372 nucleotides) under uncultured bacterium. RNAcentral describes it as "bacterial SSU rRNA". It matches the Rfam family "Bacterial small subunit ribosomal RNA", at positions 28 to 1381 of the family's 1533-position model. The record is from RNAcentral.
GAUGAACGCUGGCGGCGUGCCUAAUACAUGCAAGUCGAGCGAACGGACGAGAAGCUUGCUUCUCUGAUGUUAGCGGCGGACGGGUGAGUAACACGUGGAUAACCUACCUAUAAGACUGGGAUAACUUCGGGAAACCGGAGCUAAUACCGGAUAAUAUUUUGAACCGCAUGGUUCAAAAGUGAAAGACGGUCUUGCUGUCACUUAUAGAUGGAUCCGCGCUGCAUUAGCUAGUUGGUAAGGUAACGGCUUACCAAGGCAACGAUGCAUAGCCGACCUGAGAGGGUGAUCGGCCACACUGGAACUGAGACACGGUCCAGACUCCUACGGGAGGCAGCAGUAGGGAAUCUUCCGCAAUGGGCGAAAGCCUGACGGAGCAACGCCGCGUGAGUGAUGAAGGUCUUCGGAUCGUAAAACUCUGUUAUUAGGGAAGAACAUAUGUGUAAGUAACUGUGCACAUCUUGACGGUACCUAAUCAGAAAGCCACGGCUAACUACGUGCCAGCAGCCGCGGUAGUACGUAGGUGGCAAGCGUUAUCCGGAAUUAUUGGGCGUAAAGCGCGCGUAGGCGGUUCUUUAAGUCUGAUGUGAAAGCCCACGGCUCAACCGUGGAGGGUCAUUGGAAACUGGAAAACUUGAGUGCAGAAGAGGAAAGUGGAAUUCCAUGUGUAGCGGUGAAAUGCGCAGAGAUAUGGAGGAACACCAGUGGCGAAGGCGACUUUCUGGUCUGUAACUGACGCUGAUGUGCGAAAGCGUGGGGAUCAAACAGGAUUAGAUACCCUGGUAGUCCACGCCGUAAACGAUGAGUGCUAAGUGUUAGGGGGUUUCCGCCCCUUAGUGCUGCAGCUAACGCAUUAAGCACUCCGCCUGGGGAGUACGACCGCAAGGUUGAAACUCAAAGGAAUUGACGGGGACCCGCACAAGCGGUGGAGCAUGUGGUUUAAUUCGAAGCAACGCGAAGAACCUUACCAAAUCUUGACAUCCUUUGACAACUCUAGAGAUAGAGCCUUCCCCUUCGGGGGACAAAGUGACAGGUGGUGCAUGGUUGUCGUCAGCUCGUGUCGUGAGAUGUUGGGUUAAGUCCCGCAACGAGCGCAACCCUUAAGCUUAGUUGCCAUCAUUAAGUUGGGCACUCUAAGUUGACUGCCGGUGACAAACCGGAGGAAGGUGGGGAUGACGUCAAAUCAUCAUGCCCCUUAUGAUUUGGGCUACACACGUGCUACAAUGGACAAUACAAAGGGCAGCGAAACCGCGAGGUCAAGCAAAUCCCAUAAAGUUGUUCUCAGUUCGGAUUGUAGUCUGCAACUCGACUACAUGAAGCUGGAAUCGCUAGUAAUCGUAGAUCAGCAUGCUACGGUGAAUACGUUCCCGGGUCU